CUUGCUUCACCUGUUGUGAGUUAUAUUGUCCUACACAAUAAUGAUAUAUAAUUCACAACAGGUGAAGCAAGUGCACUGACCACUGAGAAUAUUUUCAAACAUUAAUUUCAAAUAUGCAAAUGGAAAUCUAUAGCUUGAAUGUGACCAAGCAAAUAAUAAAGCUAGCACAUUUGAGGGCAUGUAACUGUUAGAUUUAGUACAAGAUAUUUUCAUCAAUCUCGAGAUUGCAUUGCACAGUGAUUGAAUUGACAAUACAAUGAGGAUUAAUAAUUCCAUAUGAAGUUCUAUAAUUUUUUUGUUCUUUUCAUAUAUAUGCAUUGAGGAUUUUUUUUUCAAAACAGGAAAAAUGGAAGGUCUAGGACCUAUUGAAUCCUAGAAAGCAGUUUUUCAUUUUCCAUUCCAGUUUUCAUUUUAG
RNAcentral lists this unclassified non-coding RNA (415 nucleotides) under Hevea brasiliensis (rubber tree). Lineage: Eukaryota; Viridiplantae; Streptophyta; Magnoliopsida; Malpighiales; Euphorbiaceae. The record is from RNAcentral.